CAUGCAGUCGAACGCUGAAGCUCCCAGCUUGCUGGGGGUGGAUGAGUGGCGAACGGGUGAGUAACACGUGAGUAACCUGCCCCGAACUCUGGGAUAAGCGCUGGAAACGGCGUCUAAUACUGGAUAUGUCCUAUCACCGCAUGGUGUGUAGGUGGAAAGAAUUUCGGUUCGGGAUGGACUCGCGGCCUAUCAGCUAGAUGGUGAGGUAAUGGCUCACCAUGGCGACGACGGGUAGCCGGCCUGAGAGGGUGACCGGCCACACUGGGACUGAGACACGGCCCAGACUCCUACGGGAGGCAGCAGUGGGGAAUAUUGCACAAUGGGCGCAAGCCUGAUGCAGCAACGCCGCGUGAGGGAUGACGGCCUUCGGGUUGUAAACCUCUUUUAGUAGGGAAGAAGCGAAAGUGACGGUACCUGCAGAAAAAGCACCGGCUAACUACGUGCCAGCAGCCGCGGUAAUACGUAGGGUGCAAGCGUUGUCCGGAAUUAUUGGGCGUAAAGAGCUCGUAGGCGGCUUGUCGCGUCUGCUGUGAAAACCAGAGGCUCAACCUCUGGCCUGCAGUGGGUACGGGCAAGCUAGAGUGCGGUAGGGGAGAUUGGAAUUCCUGGUGUAGCGGUGGAAUGCGCAGAUAUCAGGAGGAACACCGAUGGCGAAGGCAGAUCUCUGGGCCGUAACUGACGCUGAGGAGCGAAAGCAUGGGGAGCGAACAGGAUUAGAUACCCUGGUAGUCCAUGCCGUAAACGUUGGGAACUAGAUGUAGGGCCUGUUCCACGGGUUCUGUGUCGUAGCUAACGCAUUAAGUUCCCCGCCUGGGGAGUACGGCCGCAAGGCUAAAACUCAAAGGAAUUGACGGGGC
RNAcentral lists this ribosomal RNA (857 nucleotides) under Leucobacter sp. M14. RNAcentral describes it as "bacterial SSU rRNA". It matches the Rfam family "Bacterial small subunit ribosomal RNA", at positions 54 to 919 of the family's 1533-position model. The record is from RNAcentral. Lineage: Bacteria; Bacillati; Actinomycetota; Actinomycetes; Micrococcales; Microbacteriaceae.